UAGAAAAUAGUUUAAUUAGUAAAACCAAGAAAUUUGAAUUCUUAGAUACAAGUGCAACCCUUGUUUUCCUAA
RNAcentral lists this transfer RNA (72 nucleotides) under Lethasterias nanimensis. Its description in RNAcentral is "tRNA-Gln". It matches the Rfam family "tRNA". From Rfam's summary of the family: Transfer RNA (tRNA) molecules are approximately 80 nucleotides in length. Their secondary structure includes four short double-helical elements and three loops (D, anti-codon, and T loops). The record is from RNAcentral. Lineage: Eukaryota; Metazoa; Echinodermata; Asteroidea; Forcipulatida; Asteriidae.